GCAUAGUGGCUCACGCUUGUAAUCCCAGCACUUUGGGAGGCCGAGGAGGGUGGAUCCAGGAGUUCGAGACCAACCUGGGCAACAUCAUGAGACCUCAUCUCUACCAAAAAUAAAAAAAAACUAGCUGGGCAUGGUGGCACGUGCCUGUAGUCCCAACUAUUUGGGAGGCUGAGACAGUGGAAUCAAUAGAGCCCAGGAGUUCAAGGCAGCAGUGAGCUGUGAUCAGGCCACUGCACUUCAGCCUGGGCAAUGGGAAUAAGACACUGUCUCAAAAAAAAAAAAAAGAAAAAAAGAUUGGGGGCCCUUCAAAGUCACCCAAGCUGGGCUAAAACCAUGGAUUCCGGGGCAGGUUACAUCAUCUUUCUAAACCUCACUUUCCUCAUCUGAGAAAUGGGAUAAUAACAGUCCAAAUGUGACAAUGGGUGUAAUGCUUUGGCAUGCUGCCCGGCAAUUAAGCCCUUAGCUACUAUUCUCUCUAAUGUAUGUUUACUGGCUGCCCACUUGGUCCUAAGCACCUGUCCCUCUUGGGCAGGAGUGGGCUGAUUCUCCAGCUGAGGAGUCCUGGGCUGGGGUCAAGGGUCUCCAUUUGAGGAUCCUUGGCUUAUAGACCAUCUGGUCCAUGGCUGACACACAUACCACACUAGAAUGACCAGCUGCCCCCAGGAAAGCGAGCCUGGGUCCUGGCAGAGUGGGUGGGUGGAAGACAAGCUGUCUCAAAGCUCAGAAAUGAGCACGUCCUAAUGCCUCUGAGCUUGGCAGUCACCUUUGGGAAGCUGAUACCCACCUUCAGGGCCAGACACCCAGUCCCAAGUCCUGGCCUGAGGGCCAGGGGAAGCUCUGGUCUUGCCAGCAUCCCAAGCAGUCGCUUUGUGCCUGAACAGAGCUUCCUUUGUGUGGUGGCAGCAGCAGAUAACUGCUCCUGGGUGGCAGGUUACUCACUGAAGUGCAAUCCCUGAUUUACUAACUGGAGCAAUUGCUAGGCUGUGCCAGCAAGGCUACCGUGUUGGCCUCCAGGGGCAGGUGCCACAAGGGCUGUCACUGUAUCCUGGGGAGGACCCCAGAGCCUCUAUUCCAAGAUGUCCAAGCUACAUCCAUUGACCCCAUAGUGGGGUUUGGAACUUCAAGAAGGGGCUGGGCGCGGUGGCUCAUGCCUGUAAUCCCAGCACUUUGGGAGGCUGAGGCAGGUGGAUCAUUUGAGGUCAGGAGUUCAAGACCAGCCUGGCCAACACAGUGAAACCCCGUCUCCACUAAAACAUACAAAAAUUAGCCGGGCAGUAGUGGCACAUGCCUAUAAUCCCAGGUACUUGGGAGGCUGAAGCAGGAGAAUUACUUGAGCCUGGAAGAUGGAGGUUGCAGUGAGCUGAGAUCGAGCCACUGCACUCCAGUCUGGGCAACAGAGUGAGACCUUGUCUCAAAAAACAAAACAAAAAAAAAAA
RNAcentral lists this long non-coding RNA (1436 nucleotides) under Homo sapiens (human). RNAcentral's name for it is "HSALNT0290819". Lineage: Eukaryota; Metazoa; Chordata; Mammalia; Primates; Hominidae. The record is from RNAcentral.